GACGAACGCUGGCGGCGUGCUUAACACAUGCAAGUCGAACGGUAAGGCCCUUCGGGGUACACGAGUGGCGAACGGGUGAGUAACACGUGGGUGAUCUGCCCUGCACUUCGGGAUAAGCCCGGGAAACUGGGUCUAAUACCGGAUAGGACCACUGCCUGCAUGGGUGGUGGUGGAAAGCUUUUGCGGUGUGGGAUGGGCCCGCGGCCUAUCAGCUUGUUGGUGGGGUGAUGGCCUACCAAGGCGACGACGGGUAGCCGGCCUGAGAGGGUGACCGGACACACUGGGACGGAGCUACGGCCCAGACUCCUACGGGAGGCAGCAGUGGGGAAUAUUGCACAAUGGGCGCAAGCCUGAUGCAGCGACGCCGCGUGAGGGAUGACGGCCUUCGGGUUGUAAACCUCUUUCAGCACCGACGAAGCGCAAGUGACGGUAGGUGCAGAAGAAGGACCGGCCAACUACGUGCCAGCCGCCGCAGUAA
Molecule: ribosomal RNA, 478 nt
Filed under: uncultured bacterium
Lineage: Bacteria
Description: partial 16S ribosomal RNA
Rfam family: Bacterial small subunit ribosomal RNA
Source: RNAcentral